AACUUUUGGCAACGGGUCUCUUGGUUCUGGCAUCGAUGAAGAACGCAGCGAAAUGCGAUAAGUAAUGUGAAUUGCAGAAUGCAGUGAAUCAUCGAAUCUUUGAACGCACAUUGCGCUCCCUGGUAUUCCGGGGAGCAUGCCUGUCCGAGCGUCAUUACAACCCUCAAGCUCUGCUUGGUGUUGGGUCCCACCGCCCCGGCGGGCCCUAACGUCAGUGGCGGUGCCGUCCGGCUCCGAGCGUAGUAAUUCUUCUCGCUCGGGAGGCCCGGCCGCGUGCCCGCCAGCAACCCCCAAAUUUUUUCAGGUUGACCUCGGAUCAGGUAGGGAUACCCGCUGAACUUAAGCAUAUCAAUAAGCGGAGGCU
RNAcentral lists this unclassified non-coding RNA (364 nucleotides) under uncultured Geomyces. RNAcentral describes it as "sequence contains ITS2". The stretch from base 1 to 154 matches the Rfam family "5.8S ribosomal RNA". The record is from RNAcentral. Lineage: Eukaryota; Fungi; Ascomycota; Leotiomycetes; Myxotrichaceae.